RNAcentral lists this ribosomal RNA (886 nucleotides) under Enterococcus canintestini. RNAcentral's name for it is "bacterial SSU rRNA". It matches the Rfam family "Bacterial small subunit ribosomal RNA", at positions 582 to 1469 of the family's 1533-position model. The record is from RNAcentral. Lineage: Bacteria; Bacillati; Bacillota; Bacilli; Lactobacillales; Enterococcaceae.
GUUAAGUCUGAAGGGAAAGCCCCCGGGUCAACCGGGGAGGGUCAUUGGAAAAUGGGAGACUUGAGUGCAGAAGAGGAGAGUGGAAUUCCAUGUGUAGCGGUGAAAUGCGUAGAUAUAUGGAGGAACACCAGUGGCGAAGGCGGCUCUCUGGUCUGUAACUGACGCUGAGGCUCGAAAGCGUGGGGAGCGAACAGGAUUAGAUACCCUGGUAGUCCACGCCGUAAACGAUGAGUGCUAAGUGUUGGAGGGUUUCCGCCCUUCAGUGCUGCAGCAAACGCAUUAAGCACUCCGCCUGGGGAGUACGACCGCAAGGUUGAAACUCAAAGGAAUUGACGGGGGCCCGCACAAGCGGUGGAGCAUGUGGUUUAAUUCGAAGCAACGCGAAGAACCUUACCAGGUCUUGACAUCCUUUGACCACUCUAGAGAUAGAGCUUCCCCUUCGGGGGCAAAGUGACAGGUGGUGCAUGGUUGUCGUCAGCUCGUGUCGUGAGAUGUUGGGUUAAGUCCCGCAACGAGCGCAACCCUUAUUGUUAGUUGCCAUCAUUUAGUUGGGCACUCUAGCGAGACUGCCGGUGACAAACCGGAGGAAGGUGGGGAUGACGUCAAAUCAUCAUGCCCCUUAUGACCUGGGCUACACACGUGCUACAAUGGGAAGUACAACGAGUUGCGAAGUCGCGAGGCUAAGCUAAUCUCUUAAAGCUUCUCUCAGUUCGGAUUGUAGGCUGCAACUCGCCUACAUGAAGCCGGAAUCGCUAGUAAUCGCGGAUCAGCACGCCGCGGUGAAUACGUUCCCGGGCCUUGUACACACCGCCCGUCACACCACGAGAGUUGUAACACCCGAAGUCGGUGAGGUAACCUUUUGGAGCCAGCCGCCUAAGGUGGAAAU